ACAACUUUGCAAACCUUGGAGUCUCUCUCAAAGUAAAGAUUGAUUUCUUGCUGAACUCUAAGCCCAGUCUGAACAUUUCAAUUCUUACUAACUUCUUUGAGACUUUCCCUUCUGAAAGCCCUAUCUUCUCUUGGUUUCUGUGAGAGCACUUUUUCCUGGUUCCUCUCUUGGGCUGCAGGAGCAGCUCCCUGGACUGAAGAAACAGCACCCAGGGAAGUCCAUAAGCCUCUGAGGAGUGAGGCCAGCAAUGGCUGAAAUGUGGUGGAAGAGUGAGGGUGGAGAACAUGCCCUAAGAGAAUAAAUAGCUUGUUUGAUGGCCGUUGCUUCUUUGUCAUCAGUGGCUGUGCAGUUGACAACCAAACUCUACAAAGUCAUUCUUCAGAAUGAGAAAAGCUGCAGUGAUCUAGAAGGAAGGCCACUUCUGGUUCCAUUCAGAGCCUCAGCUGGCAACACCUAGCGUUAUCACCUGACAGCAGUCACCUUGCAGGACAGCAACUACAGAACCCGAAGCAAAGACAGGGCCAGCGGUGGGUCCUAGCCUGGCAGGCGGCAUCCCAUGUUACCACUUUGUUCCUCUGACAGUUUUAACCCUCCCUCUGCCACUGGAAAGCCUGCUGCAUCCUCCACACUUAUUCUGUCUCCCUGAACCGAAUCAACAGGGACAAUCAGGUCAGAGUCACCUUGAGGGACAUUACCCCAUUUACAGACCAUCCAGGAUGACUUGUCUCUCCUCUUCCUUUGGCUACAUCAGUCUGAACUGAGAUUAGAGCAUUACACAAUGUCUGCCCACUUUAUUGUUCAACAAAUUGUCUGCUUUCAAGAGCAAAGUACCUGCCCAGCACCAUGCAGCUACUGGAGACCUAGUGAGGAGUAGGACAGACGUGGCCCUCUGGGAGCUGGUAUCCCAGGGCAGGGGACAGACAAAGGAGCACACCAAUAAAUAAAUAAGUCAUGGCAAUUUGUGAGAAGAGCUUAAGAAGGCAACAACUAGAAUGCAGUGGAAGGUUAUAAUGGGGGCAGAGUCACAGAAGGUCAAGAGAGGUCAUGGAAAGUCAAGAAGAUAACGCAAUAGUCUAUCCUGUAAAGAAGACAUUUAAAUUGAACUAUUGUGGAAGACAUGAAGACAACUGUGGAAAGAACUGAGUGAAGAAGAUUUUGAGAAAAAAGACAGAGUAAUGACUUUAAGGGACAGAAAAGAGCUUGGGAUGGGCAGAAGACAUUGAACAGACAUUUCUCCGAAGACCUACGCAUGGCCAACAACCACAGGAAAAAUGCUCCACAGCACUUGUCAUCAGGGAAAUACAAAUCAAAACCACAAUGAGA
Long non-coding RNA from Canis lupus familiaris (dog), 1323 nucleotides. RefSeq lists it as uncharacterized. The transcript has 3 exons. The record is from RefSeq and is a predicted model, not a curated record. Lineage: Eukaryota; Metazoa; Chordata; Mammalia; Carnivora; Canidae.